CGUCGGCUGCACAAGCGGUGUUGGCGACUCAAGCGGCAGAUCCGGCACAGAUGGCAGCAACACAGAUGGCAGCAACGCAGAUGCCGGAGGGGGCUGUGGAAGAGGCGGCAGCGGCAGCUCCAGGGAGCCCCAGCAACUGAGGAAGGGCAGAGAAGGCCAGAAUGACCAGAGAACCUGCUGUAGAGAAAGGCUUUUGGGGUUUGAGCAUCUGCACCUUCAGAAGCUGCGCUGAAGCCUUCAUAGGCAGCCUCUGCCUUGUGAGGGAAGGCACCUCCACCAGCUGUAGUGUAAGGAUCAAGCCUGGUGUGUGGAACUUUUCUACAGCCCAUAAACGGAGAAAGCUUUUGCCUCCUCAGUUGUAGAGUUCUAUCAGUCACCGCUCUUUCAAGUCAUUGGUGAAGUGGAUAGAAAAUGCCUGCUUUCAGGGAACCAAACGGAUGUUGAAAAGGGGCUGGAAAUUAAACCCAGAACUUGAGUCUUGGAUGCUGUAGGCAGUGCCUUGAAAGAACUUCCUGGAACGGUGUGGAGCUUCAGAGCAUGAGCACAUUGACCUGAGCAACAACUAGAUGAUUCCUAAUCCUUUUUGGGUGUCCAUUUGGUUAUUUACGUGGCCAAGAAAGUCUUAAAAGUCUGCUGAGGAAGUGCAGAUCCAUCAUGCGCAAAAUCGGUUUUGAGGAACUAGAUGGGUGUGCACGUGACCUGGUGUCUAAAGGCAGUUUAAGCAUGGGAACAGAACAUGUUGGGUAUCAAUGGAGUGGUUAUGCUGUCCAUCGUGUAAGUUGUCUUGUGCUCAUAUACCUAUAAGUUGGAAGUUGUACACAGAGUAUAUUCUGUUGAGGACUGUGGAUUAAUUCUGUUAAAUGGAAGUCUUGACCAUUCACUCCACGUAUUGAGCUUUAAUUUCAGUUCUAUGCAGUGAUUGACUGUUGUGUCCAAGAAGAAUUGUCAGUAAAGACACUGCAAGAAAACUGCAGUGUUAGUCAGAAAUCAGGAAUAGUGGAAAUCAUAAGGUAAACAAGGGAAAUUUUAAUUUUUCAACAGGAUUAGAUCAUGCUCUCC
Molecule: long non-coding RNA, 1059 nt
Organism: Neogale vison (American mink)
Lineage: Eukaryota; Metazoa; Chordata; Mammalia; Carnivora; Mustelidae
Exons: 4
Source: RefSeq, a predicted model, not a curated record